This 507-nucleotide ribosomal RNA is filed under the name uncultured bacterium. RNAcentral describes it as "bacterial SSU rRNA". It matches the Rfam family "Bacterial small subunit ribosomal RNA", at positions 32 to 515 of the family's 1533-position model. The record is from RNAcentral.
AAUCAACGCUGGCGGCGUGCCUCAGACAUGCAAGUCGAACGCGAAAUCUCCCUUCGGGGAGAAAGUAGAGUGGCGCACGGGUGAGUAACACGUAGGUAAUCUACCUUCGGAUGGGGAAUAACCCCGAGAAAUCGGGGCUAAUACCGCAUAAUGCAGCGGCACCUAAUGGUGACAGUUGUUAAAGCGGGGGAUCGCAAGACCUCGCGUCUGAAGAGGAGCCUGCGGCGGAUUAGCUAGUUGGUAAGGUAACGGCUUACCAAGGCGAUGAUCCGUAGCCGGCCUGAGAGGGCGGUCGGCCACACUGACACUGACAUACGGGUCAGACUCCUACGGGAGGCAGCAGUCGGGAAUUUGGGCAAUGGGCGAAAGCCUGACCCAGCAACGCCGCGUGAAGGAUGAAAUCCCUCGGGAUGUAAACUUCGCAAGAACGGGAAGAAUAAGGCUGUGCGAACACCACAGCCGAUGACGGUACUGUUUGUAAGCUCCGGCUAACUCCGUGCCAGCACG